This 30-nucleotide non-coding RNA is filed under the name Mus musculus (house mouse). The record is from RNAcentral. Lineage: Eukaryota; Metazoa; Chordata; Mammalia; Rodentia; Muridae.
UGGCUUACGUUGCACCCUCGGAUCUGGACU